UGCUGCACCAGGCGGGGACGUACCGGCACAUGCAGCUGAAGCCGCCACUUCUGGUAGCACUAAUGAUGCUGAGUUGCAGAGGAAUGCCCAUGCUGCCGCUGCUGCUACUGUAGCUGCUGCCGCUAAUCUUAUAUUGUCAGUCAAUACUGAAACUGCAAGGGAGGGGCGUGAUGCAGCAAUGGCGCGCGGGGAGUAUCAGGUGCCGAGGCUGGCCUCGUUGGGGAUCAGUGGCAUGGCCGACAGCAGGCGGGAUAUGGGUUUGACUAGGGCUGACGUUCUUGCGCUGGAGUCACGAACGCUAGCGGUCGGUUGUGAUGGGCCACACAUGUACAUGGUACCGACGAUAGCCGCGCUCCAGCGCACCUGGACUACUGGAGAUUCCAAUGACCGUCAAAACUGAGGGCCAGCUGCCUUCGCUUUCUUACGAAUCCUGUUUACUGUUGGCUGCCCAGAAUCGAUGUGCGGGAAUUUCUCGAUUGGUUGCCGGUUAAGCUCUUGUCACUUUGUGGGUGCUCUCAGCAGAGCCAGGUCCAUAGGGCCUGAUGGAAGGGAAAUUACCAUGAUGAACGAGAACGUCGAAAUAGUUCUAGCCAUCUCCUCAGAUGGCGGGCGAACGUAGAUUGAGGUGCUGUGCUGAGGGUGCCGUGCACAAAUGGCAUGGGAUGUUGAGAAGUACUCGAGAACAAAGAAUAUUCAUCAUGUCUUUGAAGAGUAUUUAACCCAUCCUUCGGCCCACAAAUGCGUCUGCUGAGCAACGCGUACCGCGGUCCGUA
Molecule: long non-coding RNA, 773 nt
Filed under: Volvox carteri
Lineage: Eukaryota; Viridiplantae; Chlorophyta; Chlorophyceae; Chlamydomonadales; Volvocaceae
Description: long non-coding RNA (VCAR_LNC000779)
Source: RNAcentral